This 553-nucleotide ribosomal RNA is filed under the name uncultured fungus. RNAcentral's name for it is "eukaryotic LSU rRNA". The stretch from base 180 to 333 matches the Rfam family "5.8S ribosomal RNA". The record is from RNAcentral. Lineage: Eukaryota; Fungi.
UUCGGGGGGCCGGCGUUGAAUAGCAGUUCCAUCGCGGAUCAGCAGUUCUCCCCGCCCUGUCGGAACAUUACCCAUGCUUUUUGCGUACCCAUUGUUUCCUCGGCAGGCUUGCCUGCCAGCAGGACCUUUUUAAAACCCUUUGCAAUUGCAGUCAGCGUCAGAAAAAACUUAAUAGUUACAACUUUCAACAACGGAUCUCUUGGUUCUGGCAUCGAUGAAGAACGCAGCGAAAUGCGAUAAGUAGUGUGAAUUGCAGAAUUCAGUGAAUCAUCGAAUCUUUGAACGCACAUUGCGCCCCUUGGUAUUCCAUGGGGCAUGCCUGUUCGAGCGUCAUUUGUACCCUCAAGCUUUGCUUGGUGAUGGGUGUUUGUUCCGCUGCAACGCGUGAACUCGCCUCAAAUUAAUUGGCAGCCGGCAAUCUGGUGUUUGAGCGCAGCACACUUUGCGCUCUUCGCUGGGUAUUGCGGGCGUCCAUGAAGCCUAUAUUUUCGCGCUUGACCUCGGAUCAGGUAGGGAUACCCGCUGAACUUAAGCAUAUCAAUAAGCGGAGGAA